GACGAACGCUGGCGGCGUGCUUAACACAUGCAAGUCGAACGAUGAAGCCGGAGCUUGCUCUGGUGAAUUAGUGGCGAACGGGUGAGUAACACGUGAGUAACCUGCCCUUGACUCUGGGAUAACUGCGGGAAACUGUAACUAAUACCGGAUACGACCCUCGGAGGCAUCUCCUGGGGGUGGAAAGAAUUUCGGUCAAGGAUGACUCGCGGCCUAUCAGCUAGUUGGUGAGGUAAAGGCUCACCAAGGCGACGACGGGUAGCCGGCCUGAGAGGGGGACCGGCGAAACUGGGACUGAGACACGGCCGAGACUCCUACGGGAGGCAGCAGUGGGGAAUAUUGCACAAUGGGCGCAAGCCUGAUGCAGCAACGCCGCGUGAGGGAUGACGGCCUUCGGGUUGUAAACCUCUUUUAGCAGGGAAGAAGCGAAAGUGACGGUACCCGCAGAAAAAGCACCGGCUAACUACGUGCCAGCCGCCGCCGUAA
RNAcentral lists this ribosomal RNA (483 nucleotides) under uncultured bacterium. Its description in RNAcentral is "partial 16S ribosomal RNA". It matches the Rfam family "Bacterial small subunit ribosomal RNA", at positions 28 to 523 of the family's 1533-position model. The record is from RNAcentral.